GACGAACGCUGGCGGCGUGCUUAACACAUGCAAGUCGAACGGAAAGGCCUGCUUUCCCUUGUGGAUUGCGGGUACUCGAGUGGCGAACGGGUGAGUAACACGUGAGUGAUCUGCUCCCAACUUGGGUAUAAGCCUGGGAAACUGGGUCUAAUUCCCGAUAGGACUGCAGGGUGGUGCCUGUGGUGGAACACGAUUUUCUAGUGGUUGGGGAUGAGCUCGCGGCCUAUCAGCUGGUUGGUGGGGUAAUGGCCUACCAAGGCGGCGACGGGUAGCCGGCCUGGGAGGGUGGCCAGCCUGAUAGGGACAGAGAUACGGCCCUGACUCCUGCGGGAGGCGGCAGUGGUGAAUAUUGCACAGUGGGAGGAAGCCUGAGGCAUCGACGCUGCGUGAAGGAUGACGUCGGGCGGGUUGUAAACUCCGUUCGACCGCGAGGAAACCACCUGGAUGGAAGGGUGUUGACGGUAGUGGUAGAAGAAGCACCGGCUAACUACGUG
Molecule: ribosomal RNA, 494 nt
Filed under: uncultured bacterium
Lineage: Bacteria
Description: partial 16S ribosomal RNA
Rfam family: Bacterial small subunit ribosomal RNA
Source: RNAcentral